UAAUACAGAGGGUGCGAGCGUUGUCCGGAAUCACUGGGCGUAAAGGGCGCGUAGGUGGCGGCAUAAGGCCGCGGUGAAAGUCUGGGGCUCAACCCCAGAUCGGCCGCGGCGACUGUGUCGCUUGGGUACCGUAGAGGCAGAUGGAAUUCCGGGUGUAGCGGUGGAAUGCGUAGAGAUCCGGAAGAACACCAGUGGCGAAGGCGGUCUGCUGGGCGGUGGGACCGAAAGGUCUCUUCAACCGACACUGAGGCGCGACAGCGUGGGGAGCAAACAGGAUUAGAUACCCUGGUAGUCCACGCCGUAAACGAUGGGCACUAGGUGCUCCGGGGAGCGACCCUUGGAGUACCGGCGCUAACGCAUGAAGUGCCCCGCCUGGGGAGUACGGCCGCAAGGCUG
This 396-nucleotide ribosomal RNA is filed under the name uncultured bacterium. RNAcentral's name for it is "bacterial SSU rRNA". It matches the Rfam family "Bacterial small subunit ribosomal RNA", at positions 521 to 896 of the family's 1533-position model. The record is from RNAcentral.